GCUGCUCACUGGCGAUCAAGCGGCAAACCGAGAGCGCGAGCAAGUGGGAGAGGGAGAGCGUGCCGACGCGACGGCGGAGAGCUAAAGUAACGGCAAUGGCGUGAUACUGGAUUUUUUUUCGUUUAUGUCGACGCGGCAGAAAAAAAGAUGUGCGCCUCUUAAUGAGCAAACCCGUUUGGCCAAACUUACCGGAGCUUUUUCAACUGGAAAAGCUCGCCCUUGCACUAGUCAAGCGGAGCGUGGACAGAAAUGACUUUUUCAAGUGUUUAAAUAAGCGCGCAGUAAACAGCCGCAAAGUAGACAACAGUUUUUUCGUUUUAGCUUUGCAGCGAUUACACAAUGCAAGCACGCACACACAGGCACAUACAUUUGGAUAAUACUAUACUCUAUACUGGAACCGGCAAACUGUAACUGUUAACGCAACCAAAUGCCGUAAGGUUAGUCACUGUUGCCCCCAUAACUGGACUGCGCAUGAUUCACCCACACAAACAUAGCUGUUCAAGUGCUGACAUCAACCGUUACAGUGUCGCCAGGAAAUGCGUGGGAGCCGCAUAACCAUGUGCUAUGGGCAAAAAUGUGUUGCAUAUGUCAGCGAAUAACUCGAGAUUCCUGCAAUAUGCUAAAAAUCACAUAAACGAAUUGAAUUUGUUCCCACGUAAACCUGAUAUAAUAUCAAGCAAAGCCGCCGACAUACAAUACUUCGACCCUGAACAAAAGGCAACAUUAUAUUAUCGAAUACAAUUUGAAUAUCGGCAUAAAGCACGUGCGGUAAGGGCCCACCCAAGUACCCCAGGUUCGAUUCCAUUACCAUAUAAAUCAGAUCUAAGUUUAGCAGUAGUGCAGUAUAAUUAGGAAGACAUAUGUAUAUUAUGCGACUUUAAGCGUGUAAAAAUCCUACUCAAAUGAAAUAGCUCUAUGUAUAUUAACUAUAAAUCCUGAUGUUGACCAUUUACAAGAUCCAUUUAAAAAACUUGAAACUUAAA
Long non-coding RNA from Drosophila montana, 983 nucleotides. RefSeq lists it as uncharacterized. The transcript has 2 exons. NCBI's taxonomy places the organism in Eukaryota, Metazoa, Arthropoda, Insecta, Diptera, Drosophilidae. The record is from RefSeq and is a predicted model, not a curated record.